This 73-nucleotide transfer RNA is filed under the name Thermoplasmata archaeon. RNAcentral describes it as "tRNA-Thr". It matches the Rfam family "tRNA". Rfam says of the family: Transfer RNA (tRNA) molecules are approximately 80 nucleotides in length. Their secondary structure includes four short double-helical elements and three loops (D, anti-codon, and T loops). Further hydrogen bonds mediate the characteristic L-shaped molecular structure. tRNAs have two regions of fundamental functional importance: the anti-codon, which is responsible for specific mRNA codon recognition, and the 3' end, to which the tRNAs corresponding amino acid is attached (by aminoacyl-tRNA synthetases). tRNAs cope with the degeneracy of the genetic code in two manners: having more than one tRNA (with a specific anti-codon) for a particular amino acid; and 'wobble' base-pairing, i.e. permitting non-standard base-pairing at the 3rd anti-codon position. RNAcentral also lists the same sequence under 1 other name. Lineage: Archaea; Methanobacteriati; Thermoplasmatota; Thermoplasmata. The record is from RNAcentral.
GCCACCGUAGCUCAGUUGGCGGAGCGGCUGAUUCGUAAUCAGCAGGUCGGGGGUUCAAAUCCCUCCGGUGGCU